CGGGGUGCAGCAGUAAGGAAUAUUGGUCAAUGGGCGCAAGCCUGAACCAGCCAUGCCGCGUGAAGGAUGACGGCCCUAUGGGUUGUAAACUUCUUUUGUACGGGAAAAAACCACCGGUCGUGUAUCGGUGCUGAUGGUACCGUAAGAAUAAGCAUCGGCUAACUCCGUGCCAGCAGCCGCGGUAAUACGGAGGAUGCAAGCGUUAUCCGGAUUCAUUGGGUUUAAAGGGUGCGCAGGCGGAGUGAUAAGUCAGUGGUGAAAGCCUACAGCUUAACUGUAGAACUGCCAUUGAUACUGUCAUUCUUGAGUAUUGUUGAGGUAGGCGGAAUGUGUCAUGUAGCGGUGAAAUGCUUAGAUAUGACACAGAACACCGAUCGCGAAGGCAGCUUACCAAGCAAUAACUGACGCUCAUGCACGAAAGCGUGGGGAUCAAACAGGAUUAGAUACCCCAGU
This 453-nucleotide ribosomal RNA is filed under the name uncultured Bacteroidales bacterium. Its description in RNAcentral is "bacterial SSU rRNA". It matches the Rfam family "Bacterial small subunit ribosomal RNA", at positions 342 to 791 of the family's 1533-position model. The record is from RNAcentral. Lineage: Bacteria; Pseudomonadati; Bacteroidota; Bacteroidia; Bacteroidales.